RNAcentral lists this ribosomal RNA (837 nucleotides) under Juxtiphoma eupyrena. Its description in RNAcentral is "partial large subunit ribosomal RNA". It matches the Rfam family "Eukaryotic large subunit ribosomal RNA", at positions 75 to 930 of the family's 3401-position model. The record is from RNAcentral. Lineage: Eukaryota; Fungi; Ascomycota; Dothideomycetes; Pleosporales; Didymellaceae.
UUGCCCUAGUAACGGCGAGUGAAGCGGCAACAGCUCAAAUUUGAAAUCUGGCGUCUUUGGCGUCCGAGUUGUAAUUUGCAGAGGGCGCUUUGGCAUUGGCAGCGGUCCAAGUUCCUUGGAACAGGACGUCACAGAGGGUGAGAAUCCCGUACGUGGUCGCUAGCCUUUACCGUGUAAAGCCCCUUCGACGAGUCGAGUUGUUUGGGAAUGCAGCUCUAAAUGGGAGGUAAAUUUCUUCUAAAGCUAAAUACUGGCCAGAGACCGAUAGCGCACAAGUAGAGUGAUCGAAAGAUGAAAAGCACUUUGGAAAGAGAGUUAAAAAGCACGUGAAAUUGUUGAAAGGGAAGCGCUUGCAGCCAGACUUGCCUGUAGUUGCUCAUCCGGGUUUUUACCCGGUGCACUCUUCUAUAGGCAGGCCAGCAUCAGUUUGGGCGGUUGGAUAAAGGUCUCUGUCAUGUACCUCUCUUCGGGGAGAACUUAUAGGGGAGACGACAUGCAACCAGCCUGGACUGAGGUCCGCGCAUCUGCUAGGAUGCUGGCGUAAUGGCUGUAAGCGGCCCGUCUUGAAACACGGACCAAGGAGUCUAACAUCUAUGCGAGUGUUUGGGUGUCAAGCCCGAGCGCGUAAUGAAAGUGAACGGAGGUGGGAACCCCUCGGGGUGCACCAUCGACCGAUCCUGAUGUCUUCGGAUGGAUUUGAGUAAGAGCAUAGCUGUUGGGACCCGAAAGAUGGUGAACUAUGCUUGAAUAGGGUGAAGCCAGAGGAAACUCUGGUGGAGGCUCGCAGCGGUUCUGACGUGCAAAUCGAUCGUCAAAUUUGGGCAUAGGGGCGAAAGA